UUAACCACUAGUCGACGAACGUACGGAACCGGACGAGCCGGAACGGGAGACUACUCCGGUGGCGAGUGGCGAACGGGUGAGUAAUAUAUCGGAACGUGCCCAGUCGUGGGGGAUAACGUAGCGAAAGCUACGCUAAUACCGCAUACGAUCUAUGGAUGAAAGCGGGGGAUCGCAAGACCUCGCGCGAUUGGAGCGGCCGAUAUCAGAUUAGGUAGUUGGUGAGGUAAAGGCUCACCAAGCCGACGAUCUGUAGCUGGUCUGAGAGGACGACCAGCCACACUGGGACUGAGACACGGCCCAGACUCCUACGGGAGGCAGCAGUGGGGAAUUUUGGACAAUGGGCGCAAGCCUGAUCCAGCAAUGCCGCGUGCAGGAUGAAGGCCUUCGGGUUGUAAACUGCUUUUGUACGGAACGAAACGGUGAGCUCUAAUACAGUUUGCUAAUGACGGUACCGUAAGAAUAAGCACCGGCUAACUACGUG
Molecule: ribosomal RNA, 481 nt
Filed under: uncultured bacterium
Lineage: Bacteria
Description: bacterial SSU rRNA
Rfam family: Bacterial small subunit ribosomal RNA
Source: RNAcentral